This 22-nucleotide non-coding RNA is filed under the name Arabidopsis thaliana (thale cress). Lineage: Eukaryota; Viridiplantae; Streptophyta; Magnoliopsida; Brassicales; Brassicaceae. The record is from RNAcentral.
AAAUAGUCUUUUGAGUCAACAC